Molecule: ribosomal RNA, 1026 nt
Filed under: Oceanobacillus sp.
Lineage: Bacteria; Bacillati; Bacillota; Bacilli; Caryophanales; Bacillaceae
Description: bacterial SSU rRNA
Rfam family: Bacterial small subunit ribosomal RNA
Source: RNAcentral
ACAUGCAAGUCGAGCGCUGGACGCUAAUUUCAUCCCUUCGGGAUGAGAUUAACGGGAAAGAGCGGCGGACGGGUGAGUAACGCGUGGGCAACCUACCUAUAAGACUGGGAUAACUCACGGAAACGUGAGCUAAUACCGGAUAAUACUUUUUAUUGNAUAAUAAGAAGUUUGAAAGGCCGGCGUAAGCUGACACUUAUAGAUGGGCCCGCGGCGCAUUAGCUAACUGGUGAGGUAAAGGCUCACCAAAGCAACGAUGCCUAUGCGACCUGAAAGGGUGAUCGACCACACUGGGACUGAGACACGGCCCAUACUCCUACGGGAGGCAGCACCAGGGAAUCUUCCGCAAUGGACGAAAGUCUGACGGACCAACGCCGCGUGAGUGAAGAAGGUUUUCGGAUCGUAAAACUCUGUUGUUAGGGAGAACAAGUCACGUAAUAACUGACCUGACCUUGACUGCACCUAACCAGAAAGCCACGGCUAACUACGUGCCAGCAGCCGCGGAAAUACGUAGGUGGCAAGCGUUGUCCGGAUUUAUUGGGCGUAAAGCGCUCGCACGCGGUCUUUUAAGUCUGAUGUGAAAGCCCACGGCUUAACCGUGGAGGGUCAUUGGAAACUGGAAGACUUGAGUGCAGAAGAGGAGAGUGGAAUUCCAUGAGUAACGGCGAAAUGCGUAGAGAUAUGGAGGAACACCACUGGCGAACGCGACUCUCUGGUCUGUAACUGACGCUGAGGAGCGAAAGCGUGGGUACCGAACAGGAUUAGAUACCCUGGUAGUCCACGCCGUAUACGAUGAGUGCUAGGUGUUACGGCGUUUCCGCCCCUUAGUGCUGAAGUUAACGCAUUAAGCACUCCGCCUGGGGAGUACGGCCGCAACGCUGAGACUCAGAAGAAUUGACAGUGACCCGCACAAGCGGUGGAACAUGUGGUUUUAUUCGAAUCAACGCGAAAAACCUGACCAGGUCUUGACGUCCUUUCGACAUCCCUAAAGAUAGGGGAUUCCCCUUCGGCGACCAAAAGGACAGGUGG